AGAUGUGUGGGCCAUCUGGCUGUGACAUCUGUCACUCCAUUGAUCCCCAGGGUUGAUUGGAUUGAUCUGGCUGGCUAGGCAUGAUUCCCCUUCCUCCCUCACUGCUCCAAGUCUGUCCCUGACAAAGCUGAGCAAAGACGAGGAUGACCUUCCCUGGUAGAGGAGGACCAUUCGUCUGUCAAGGAUAAACAGGUAGCUAUGCGCCCCUACUAGAACCGUCAAACAAGCUCUCAAGAUCCAUUUGUAGGAGAUCCUGAGUGGUCAGGUUUCCAAGACUCUAGACACAUACAAAUGAGGCGCUGCAUGGGGCAGUUUGCCUUUUUUU
This is an unclassified non-coding RNA of Panthera pardus (leopard), 325 nucleotides long. Its record names the gene 7SK. It matches the Rfam family "7SK RNA". From Rfam's summary of the family: 7SK was discovered as an abundant small nuclear RNA in the mid-70s but a possible function has only recently been suggested. Two independent studies have found that 7SK RNA binds the CDK9/cyclin T complex (known as elongation factor P-TEFb). The record is from Ensembl. Lineage: Eukaryota; Metazoa; Chordata; Mammalia; Carnivora; Felidae.